CCGAUGUCGUUGCUCAAGUGUGAUGGUCUACAAGUCCUUGACGUGGGGAACAAUGCUAUAAAUGACACAUUUCCAGCUUGGCUCGGAACUCUUCAAGAGCUGCAGGUCCUUAUAUUAAAGUCGAACAAGUUCCAUGGACCUAUAAGUACUAGGAAGAAGUUUUACUUUCCCAGGUUGCGGAUAUUUGAUCUCUCUCAAAAUGAGUUCAGUGGCUCACUGCCUGCAGAAGUUUUUCGAAACUUCAAAGCGAUGAUCAAAUUAGAUGACAGAGAGGAAGGCGAGAUCAAAUAUAUGAGUCAAUAUUUGAAUGGACAUUCAAUAUAUGAGGAUUCAGUGAGGUUGGUGAUCAAAGGCCAGUAUAUGGAUCUAGAAAGAAUCAGCACAAUUAUGACAGUCAUAGAUCUGUCAAACAACCAUUUUGAAGGUGUGAUUCCGAAAACACUAAAGGAUCUCAGCUCACUUUGGCUACUCAAUUUAUCCCAUAACAAUCUCAAAGGUGAUAUCCCAAUGGAAUUGGGGCAAUUGAAUAUGCUUGAUGCCUUAGAUCUCUCCUGGAAUCGGCUCACUGGAAAGAUUCCGCAGGAAUUGACAGAAUGAACUUUCUGGCAUUCUUAAACCUCUCUCAAAAUCAUCUUGUCGGACCAAUUCCUCAAGGUCCACAAUUCAACACAUUUGGAAAUGACUCGUAUGGUGGAAACCUUGAUUUAUGUGGUCCUCCUUUAUCAAAGAAAUGUGGAACGAGUGAUCCAUCACAUGCUCCUCAGCCAUUGGAGUCUGAAGAAGAUGAAGAUGAGUCAUAUUUCUUAAGUGGAUUUACGUGGGGAUCUGUAGUCAUAGGCUACAGCUUUGGACUCAUUGUUGGAACUGUCAUGUGGAGCCUCAUGUUUAAAUAUUGUAAGCCAAAAUGGUUUGUGGAAUUUUUUGAAGGCAUUUUCCCCAAGAAAAUGAGAAGGUCAAAGAAGAGAAGGCCGAGACAGCAGAUUUAAUUGAAGAUUGAAAGAGCCAGUUGUCUUUGGAUAAUGAGUAAUGUUGGAAUUAUCCCAUUAAUAUUAUGCUUUAGUAUUUAUUUGAAUUUGUUUUCUCUUCUUAAUUUUCUGUUUGUUGUAUGUAUAUGUUUUGAUAGCAACUUAUAUGUGUUAUUUUAAGGGGAAAUAACCUCUUUCUGCAUUUUGUUCUGUUAAUGAGCGAACAAAGUUUCAUAUUGGUAGUUGAAAAGAAAAAUAAAUUACCAAGUGUCAUCAGAAUUCUAGUAAUUUUAUGUCCUCUGAAAUCAUCUAAAAAGUACCGAAUCGUGUUGCAAACGUUUGAUCACUCCAUUUGCUACACCUUAUCUUGAGUCAAUUUGUAUACGCAAACAAGCUUUCUACCUUCCUAAUGUAAAGGUAAAAGCUGCGUACACACCACCCAUCCCAAACCCCAUUUACGUUGUUGUUGUUAUCACAUUGUUUCACUUAGAAAAACACUUUUGUUAAGAUGACAAAUUAAACCUAAAGAAUAAGGAGCAAACCAGUUGUUCCAAUUAGUUUAUUGUUUAUCUUCUGUACGAAAUUCAUAUUGAAUGAUUUUUUAAAAAACUAUUUGAUGUCAGAUUAUUACAUAUUGGAAUAGAAUAACAUCAAGUUGUUACAUGGCUGUGCCCAACUUGUCAAUAUAAUAGGGGACAAGUAUCAACUUUUGCCCCAUUAAGUUUUUUCUACUACAACUAGGCAGAAAAUUGAUGUGAAAAGUCUAGUUGAAAUUUAUAGAAUGUACCUAACAAGUUUGAAAACAGCACAACAGACAACUAAUGUCAUUAUUGUUCAUUUAUUAUAUUUUCUCAAUUAUUGUGGAGAAACAGAAGACGAGAUGUUGAUGGAGAGUUGGACAAAGUUGACUUAAAACAGGAGUUCAAAUAUCUAUAAAAAUAUAUAUAGAUUUUGUUAGAACAGAACACUCUGUUAUAUGCUGAAAGCAAAAAAAUGUGGCCUCUCUUUUUCAUUUAUUCACUUUUCUGUUGUGUAUUUCUAAGUCUAAGUUUUUCUUCAUCCUUUGAUCAUCAUCUUUGCUCUCCCAGUGAAGCUUCUGCUUUGCUUCAGUUUAAGCAUUCCUUUAAUAUAUUGGACUUCUCCCCGUGUGAUACGUCUUUCCCAAAAACAGUUUCAUGGAAUGAGAGUAACGAUUGCUGCACUUGGGACGGGGUCACUUGUGACAUGUUAAACGGUCAUGUUAUCGGGUUGGAUCUUAGUUGUAGUCAGCUUAAUGGAACUAUUUAUCCCAACAGCAGCCUCAUCCAACUUCAUCAUCUUCAGACACUAAACCUUGCUAAGAACUACUUUUAUCCUUCUACGAUUCCAAAUGACGUUAGCCGGUUGAGGAAUUUGAAGCAUCUCAACCUUUCUGAUGCUUACUUUCAAGGGGAAAUCCCAACAGAAAUCUCAUACCUUUCCAAUUUGGUUUCACUUGAUCUUUCUGUUCCUUCUUAUGUGAACGGAUUACAAUUUGAUCAGAGAGCAUUUAAAGCAGUGCUUCAGAACUUGACAAAUCUAGAGGUACUUUCUCUCUUUGGUGUCAACGUCUCAUCUCCGAUACCUGUAAAUUUGUCUUCCUCCUUAAGGUACGUCGAUCUUAAGGUAACAAAUUUGGAAGGUGUUCUCACGGAGAGCGUUUUCCUUCUGCCAAAAUUGGAAACGCUCUAUUUGAGUAAUAACUAUCUUCUCAAAGGAGUUUUACCAAAGAUCCAUCCAAGCAGCACAUUGUUGGAGUUGGAUAUUUCAUACACAGGAAUCUCCGGUGAGCUGCCUGAUUCAAUUGGCACCUUGAGUUCCUUGACUCGCUUGUACCUCUAUGGAUGUCAAUUCUCUGGCCGCAUUCCUGAUUCCAUUGGCAAUCUUACACAAAUUAGGUAUUUGAAUUUUGGUAAUAAUCAUUUCACUGGCAAUAUUCCUUCCACAAUCUCUAAAUUGAAGCACCUCGCAGUUUUAGCUCUUUCAUCUAACUCCUUCGGAGGUGAAAUUCCCAAUUUUUUCUCUAACCUCCAAGAACUACGUUAUUUAAGUCUUUCUAAUUGCAGCUUCAUCGGUCCGUUUCCUUCUCCACUUUUAAGCUUGACACAACUUGAAACCUUAGACUUGUCGAGUAAUUCCCUAUCUGGACCACUGCCUAGAAAUGCAAGCAUGCUUCAAAAGCUAGCCGAGCUGGAUUUGUCUUACAACUCACUGAAUGGUACCAUACCAUCUUGGGUGUUUAGCCUACCUUUGCUAUCUUCAGUGUCGCUCCAUCAUAACCGGUUAAGUGGUUCUUUUCCUCAAUCACCUGUGAAUCUCACAAACCUUUCUACCCUUGACCUUUCAUCAAAUAACAUCACCCUUGAUGCAGGAAUACAAAUCACUUUACCUAGCCUAGUAGUUUUACAGUUAUCAUCUUGUGAACUUAGGGAUUUUCCACACUUCUUGAGAAAUGUAAAGACACUUAUGGUCUUGGAUAUUUCUAACAAUAAGAUUCGUGGUCAAAUCCCUAACUGGUUUAGCGGCAUGAGGUGGGACUCCUUGUUGCACCUAAACCUUUCACAUAACUCAUUAACAGGCCACCUACAGCCAGUGGCGGAGGCAGCAUGUAAUGAGGGGGGGCACCCCCCUCGGCGAAAAAUAUUACUAUUUAUACAUGGUUAAAAUUAUUUUUUAGGUAUGUAUAAUAGAUGUCGAACCCCCUUCCACUAGUUCGUGUGUUUACUUUUCAGAUUUUGAACCCCCUUAUUAAAUUUUCUGGCUCCGCCACUGCCUACAGCAACUUCAUUAUAAUAGUCUAGAGUCUCUUGAUCUUAAAUUUAACUUCCUUGAGGGGGCACUACCUUCAUCCAUUUGUAACAUGAGCAGUCUUAGCCUUCUGGAUUUGUCACACAACUACUUCAGUGACUCGGCUCCGCAUUGCUUGGGCAGCAUGGUUGGGCUAUCUGUGCUAGACUUGAGAAGAAAUAGUUUCACUGGGAGUCUUCCACCGUUUUGUGCGCAGAGCAAUUCAUUGAGAACCAUUGUCUUGAAUGGUAAUCAUUUUGAAGGAACUGUCCCGAUGUCAUUGCUCAAGUGUGAUGGUCUAGAAGUCCUUGAUGUGGGGAACAAUGUUAUAAAUGACACGUUUCCAGCUUGGCUCGGAACUCUUCAAGAGCUGCAGGUACUUAUAUUGAAGUCUAACAAGUUCCAUGGACCUAUAAGUACUAGGCUGAAGUUUGGUUUCCCCGUGUUACGGAUUUUUGAUCUCUCUCAUAAUGAGUUUGGUGGUUCACUGCCUGCAGAAGUUUUUGAAAACUUCAAAGGAAUGAUCAAAACAGAUGAGAGAGACAAAGGAGAGAUCGAAU
RNAcentral lists this long non-coding RNA (4330 nucleotides) under Solanum tuberosum (potato). Its description in RNAcentral is "long non-coding RNA (STUB_LNC011128)". The record is from RNAcentral. Lineage: Eukaryota; Viridiplantae; Streptophyta; Magnoliopsida; Solanales; Solanaceae.